UGGGGAAUAUUGCACAAUGGGCGCAAGCCUGAUCCAGCCAUGCCGCGUGUAUGAAGAAGGCCUUCGGGUUGUAAAGUACUUUCAGCGGGGAGGAAGGGAGUAAAGUUAAUACCUUUGCUCAUUGACGUUACCCGCAGAAGAAGCACCGGCUAACUCCGUGCCAGCAGCCGCGGUAAUACGGAGGGUGCAAGCGUUAAUCGGAAUUACUGGGCGUAAAGCGCACGCACGCGGGUUGUUAAGUCAGAUGUGAAAUCCCCGGGCUCAACCUGGGAACUGCAUCUGAUACUGGUAAGCUUGAGUCUCGUAGGGGGGGGUAGAAUUCCAGGUGUAGCGGUGAAAUGCGUAGAGAUCUGGAGGAAUACCGGUGGCGAAGGCGGCCCCCUGGACGAAGACUGACGCUCAGGUGCGAAAGCGUGGGGAGCAAACAGG
Molecule: ribosomal RNA, 429 nt
Filed under: Chloroflexota bacterium
Lineage: Bacteria; Bacillati; Chloroflexota
Description: Chloroflexi bacterium partial 16S ribosomal RNA
Rfam family: Bacterial small subunit ribosomal RNA
Source: RNAcentral